UCAACCACUUGGUGUUGCACUGAAGUGGACUUAAAGGAAGGUCAAUGAUUGGAGAUCCUUUUAGAACCCGGUUACUAUUCUAGGACAGGUUGAACCAACUAAACUUCAGUGGGGAGGGUACUUACCUAUGGAACUCAUGCAAGCCUUAAAACCUAGGAAUGAUGGUUGUGUGACUUGCUUGUGCUUGUUAUUUAUUUAACCUCAUAACAUCAUAACAUCAUAACAUCAUAACAUCAUAACAUUGUACUAACCAUUUCAAGGACUUAGGGAUUUAAC
Molecule: long non-coding RNA, 276 nt
Filed under: Lathyrus oleraceus (garden pea)
Lineage: Eukaryota; Viridiplantae; Streptophyta; Magnoliopsida; Fabales; Fabaceae
Description: Pisum sativum (pea) long non-coding RNA (PSAT_LNC017073)
Source: RNAcentral